This 433-nucleotide ribosomal RNA is filed under the name uncultured bacterium. RNAcentral describes it as "partial 16S ribosomal RNA". It matches the Rfam family "Bacterial small subunit ribosomal RNA", at positions 29 to 507 of the family's 1533-position model. The record is from RNAcentral.
AAUGAACGCUGGCGGCAUGCCUAACACAUGCAAGUCGAACGAGACCUUCGGGUCUAGUGGCGCCCGGGUGCGUAACGCGUGGGAACCUGCCCUUAGGUUCGGAAUAACUCCCCGAAAGGGGUGCUAAUACCGGAUAAUGUCUUCGGACCAAAGAUUUAUCGCCUUUGGAUGGGCCCGCGUUGGAUUAGCUAGUUGGUAGGGUAAAAGCCUACCAAGGCGACGAUCCAUAGCUGGUCUGAGAGGAUGAUCAGCCACACUGGGACUGAGACACGGCCCAGACUCCUACGGGAGGCAGCAGUGGGGAAUAUUGGACAAUGGGCGAAAGCCUGAUCCAGCAAUGCCGCGUGAGUGAUGAAGGCCGUAGGGUUGUAAAGCUCUUUUACCCGGGAUGAUAAUGACAGUACCGGGAGAAUAAGCUCCGGCUAACUCCGUG